UCUUCUUCAUCCAUGCCCCAGGCCAUUCUUGAAGCUUCCAUGCCAUUUUCUCUUUAUCCACCAUGAAAUCAAGUUUUCUUCACUUUCCUUUCCAUGUUUUCUUUUCCUUUCUUCUCCAAACUUCUUGGGCAUUAAAUUUAUAGCCUUUAACCCCAAUUUCUAGCACACCAAAACCCUAGGAGGAGAAGAAAGAAAAAGAGAGAAAGGAAGAAAAAGCUUGGUUUUGGUGAUUCAAGCAAGGAACAGUAAGAAUUCUUGUUUUUGGCUUGAGUAGUCUUUGAAAAUGAGUUAGUGACUUAGAGAAAUAUCUUGUGGCAGCAAAGAUUGGCUUGAUUGGAGAAAAAUAGGUAACAUAUAAGCCAAUAAACCCAUGGGUACAUGAAGGACUUAAAGUGGAAAAGGAAAACGGUAAGCUUAACAUUAUGUUUUAAAGCCUACGGUUAGUUGAAUAUUGUGAGGAAUUAUGGUUGUUGAAAGGAUUUAUUUGCCUAAGCUAGUUGAAAAUUAUUAAAAUUGUAUGGCAUGUUGUUUGAAAUAAAUGCAAAAGGAAUAUUGUGGAUGGAGGAUUGAGAAACAAAGUAUUAAAAGUUAGAUAGAUAACAAUGCAUGUGUGGAAAUAUAAUCGAGUGAAAGUUAGAAUGAUUGUUGCUGCCAUAUAUGUGGAUUAUGUGUG
Molecule: long non-coding RNA, 673 nt
Filed under: Theobroma cacao (cacao)
Lineage: Eukaryota; Viridiplantae; Streptophyta; Magnoliopsida; Malvales; Malvaceae
Description: long non-coding RNA (TCAC_LNC005983)
Source: RNAcentral